Molecule: ribosomal RNA, 253 nt
Filed under: uncultured bacterium
Lineage: Bacteria
Description: partial 16S ribosomal RNA
Rfam family: Bacterial small subunit ribosomal RNA
Source: RNAcentral
UACGUAGGGUGCAAGCGUUAAUCGGAAUUACUGGGCGUAAAGCGUGCGCAGGCGGUUUUGCAAGCCGGGUGUGAAAUCCCCGGGCUCAACCUGGGAAUGGCAUUUGGGACUGCAAGGCUCGAGUGCGGCAGAGGAGACUGGAAUUCCUGGUGUAGCAGUGAAAUGCGUAGAUAUCAGGAGGAAUACCGAUGGCGAAGGCAGGUCUCUGGGCUGACACUGACGCUCAUGCACGAAAGCGUGGGGAGCAAACAGG